GAUGAAGAACGUAGUGAAAUGCGAUAAGUAGUGUGAAUUGCAGAAUUCAGUGAAUCAUCGAAUCUUUGAACGCACAUUGCGCCCCCUGGUAUUCCGGGGGGCAUGCCUGUCCGAGCGUCAUUGCUGCCCUCAAGCACGGCUUGUGUGUUGGGCCCCGUCCUCCGAUCCCGGGGGACGGGCCCGAAAGGCAGCGGCGGCACCGCGUCCGGUCCUCGAGCGUAUGGGGCUUUGUCACCCGCUCUGUAGGCCCGGCCGGCGCUUGCCGAUCAACCCAAAUUUUUAUCCAGGUUGACCUCGGAUCAGGUAGGGAUACCCGCUGAACUUAAGCAUAUCAAUAAGCGGAGGA
RNAcentral lists this unclassified non-coding RNA (346 nucleotides) under soil metagenome. RNAcentral describes it as "partial contains 5.8S ribosomal RNA, internal transcribed spacer 2, and large subunit ribosomal RNA". The stretch from base 1 to 120 matches the Rfam family "5.8S ribosomal RNA", at positions 35 to 154 of the family's 154-position model. The record is from RNAcentral.